Molecule: ribosomal RNA, 253 nt
Filed under: uncultured bacterium
Lineage: Bacteria
Description: partial 16S ribosomal RNA
Rfam family: Bacterial small subunit ribosomal RNA
Source: RNAcentral
UACGAAGGGAGCUAGCGUUGUUCGGAAUCACUGGGCGUAAAGCGCACGUAGGCGGAUGUGUCAGUCAGGGGUGAAAUCCCGGAGCUCAACUUCGGAACUGCCUUUGAUACAGCACGUCUUGAGUCCGAUAGAGGUGGGUGGAAUUCCUAGUGUAGAGGUGAAAUGCGUAGAUAUCUGGAAGAACACCAGUGGCGAAGGCGGUCAACUGGCCCAUAACUGACGCUCAGGCACGAAAGCGUGGGGAGCAAACAGG